ACAUUUGGUUGUGUGUGUGGCAGGGUGGAGAUCAGGAUUUCUGGAGCUGCUUAGCUGAGAGGUUUUGGUUAAGGGUCUCCCAGGAGGUUGCCAUGAAGGUGCAGGCUGGGGUCACAGGCACUGGAAGGCAUGGCUGGAGCAAGCAGACCAUUUCCAAGUGGCUCACUCUCAUAGCUGCCAAGUUGGUGAUUGCUGUUUGUAGAUACAUCCAGUUCCUUCCACAUCAACCCUGCCAUAGGCUGCUUGAGUAGUCUCAUGACAUGGCAGCUGGCUCACCCCAGAAUAAGGAAAUGACUUACUGCAAAGAACCACUCUUCCCCACGAGACUUCGAGAAGACCCGCUGUCACGGACUGAGUUGUGUCCUCUUAAAAUUCAGAUGUUGGAGUCCAAACCCCCAGUAACUCAGAGUGUGAACGUAUUUGAAGAGGUCUUUAAAGAGGUGAUGAAGGGAGAGAGACCCCAUGAGCUCGUCAAGCUCCUUCUGUGACUGAUCAGAGAUCCCACCGUGAGUCCAGCUCCUGGUCCCAUGCUCUGGAUAUAUCGGUCCCUGGCAGCGUGCAGUCUUCUUUCCACCAAUGACCCCUCGCGCUGCUUCCAGAAGCCAAGAAAGUGGGCUUUGUCCUUGGGGAUUUAGGAGGCGGAGCGGCGCCCCCUUGAGGCCACAUGGUGGAGGCAGCGAUGAGACCUGGAGUCUAAAAUUCAGACUGAAUCACAGGAAGAAGCUAUUUACACAAGUCAAACAUGGUCCAAUCUUGGCAAUUUCAUAAGGUUCCAAUCCUUAAGGGAUCAAAACCUGGCCAACUGCUUCCACCGAGAGGUGUGCCUUUCAAUGCCAGGCUUGGAGUGUCCCUCUUUAUUUAAAAAGGAGAGGAUUCCACAGCAGAGCUUCUCAAACUCUUCCACCCAAAUCCCCUCACCACAGAGGGACAGGAGUCCUGGGCAUGUAGCCUAAAGCAGCCAGGAGAAAAAAACCUUGACCUUAAUUUUUUUAAUGAUUUCACAUGAAUCAGUGGAAUGUGUUUAUGAUAAAAUCAUCUCCUCCUGAAAUACAUGUGUAAAACUGCUGCCCCAGUUAAACGCACUUAGUCUAACCAAGCCCUAGGAUUGGCCUCUCCAGCAUGAGAAGCAUUUCCAGCACUCCAGCUCCCCAGCUCCCACUCUGGGAUCCCACCUCAGACCCUCCCACUUCCUUGCACUCUGGCCUCUCGCUCUUGACCCUGCUCCCGCCACGCUCUUUCCUCAGAGUCCAUCAGUCCUGUCUUGUCUUCACCUUGGUCUCUGCCAAGUGUGGGUCCAAGUCAUAUAUUUGGGCUGUGAUCACAGGAACCCCAAGCCCCAGACCUCCCAAAGCACCCUAUGGAGAGACCUUACCCUCCUGGACAGACCCUCUCCCCCCAGCUAGACCUCAUCCUCUGGGUAGACCCAUCUCCCCAACCAGAACUCACCCUCCUGAGUAAACCCCAUCCCCCUAGCUAGACUUCAUCCUCCUGGACAGAUCCCAUCCCCCCAGCUAGACCUCACCCUCUUGGGUAGAUGCAUCUCCCCAACCAGAACUCUCCUGGGUAGACCCCUUCUACCCAGCUAGACCUGAUCCUCUGGACAGACCCCAUCAUCCCAGCUAGACUUCUCCCUCCUGGACUGUCCCCAUCCCCCCUCCAGCCAGACCUCACCCCUCUGGGUAGACCCCAUCCCCCCAACUAGACCUCACCCUCCUGGAUGGACUCUACCCUCCUGGAGAUACCUUCCCCUCCUGGGUACAUCCCACGUGGCUACACACUCCUUCCCCUGUCAGCUUUCUCCCCCAGGGUUCUGGGCAGCAGAGUCUGUGAUAAAGGAUACUAAGUGAUUCCCCAAUACUUCCCGUUUCCAGCCUCCAGUGGGCUCUCCCUGGGGCUAACGGUUCUUUUUGCUAUUUCUCCAGGCUUUGCCUGAUGACAAGUAUACUCUGAGAGUGUCCUAAUGAUACAGAUUUUGGACCCUAUCCCAGUUCUACUGAAUCCAAGUCUCUGGGGGAGGAGUUGGGGCUCUGCAUCUGGACACCUUCCUGCAGGGUCCCUCCUGGGAGGCAAGCCCGGGGAGCACCGCUGAGGCUCGCCUCAGUGCCCAUCCUAGACCUUCAGCAGCUAGCAGAGGAUGUCCCCACCAUCCCUCAGCCCACACUCCCACUGUCGCCCCAGCCAGGCUUGGCACUGCCUCCUUUCUCAGAAGAUUAAGACCAUCUGCUGUUUCCCAAGUUUCCCACCCUCCACCCUAAAAAUUUCUCCGUUUCCCAGUCUUUCCUCGUCUCUCAGAAAAUAAACAUCUUCCCAGGCUGCCUCCCCAGUGGGUCUGCACUCCUUGCUGUCUUCCCAGCACCUGCCCUUCCAGCCCGCCCUCUGUGUGUCCAGUGUUUCCCUCACCAAAGGACUCGCUUUGUUUUUCAAAUUGGAGGUUUUGUCUUCUCCCUAAAAACCAAAACAUCUCCCUGAGAAGUAACUCCCUCAAGCUACUGAUACGGAAGGGGGGCGGGGAAGUGCUGGGAAGGGAAGGGUGUGGUCCCUGGCUAGGGCUCCACCCCCGGGCCUGUGCCCACAGACCUAGGUGAGGACAGGCAUUUCUGUUUUCGUGCUUAAAUGUUGGAUUUCCCAAGACUACCCUGGCCUACCACACCCUCAUUCUGUGCCUGUAAAAAAACCUGAGAGCUUAGCAGGCACGCACACAAGCCUCUGGACGUCAAGAGGAACACACCGGUGUAAGAGCAGACUGAUAGUGGCCCACGGCAGGCUGGCAGGCCAUCGACAGGCAGAACCACUCAGUGCAGCUGGAGGACAGCCUGGCCACGGAGCGGUCCGACUUCAGAGGGGAAAACCACCUCCCCACUCCGUCUCCCUUCUGGCUCCCCCAUCUGAGAGCUACUUCCACUCAAUAAAACCUUGCACUCAUUCUCCAAGCCCAUGUGUGAUCUGAUUCUUUUGGUGCACGGAGGCAAGAAACCUCAGGAUACAGAAAGCCUCUGUCCUUGGAAUAAGGCAGGAGGUCUAACAGCUGACUAGGGAUGGCUCAACUGAAACAGCAUCCUGUAACACAGGCCCAUUGGGACCUCAGGAGCUGUAAACAUUCACCCUUAGACAUUGCUGUGGGGUUGGAGCCCCACCACCUGCCCAUCUGCAUGCUCCCCCUACAGGUUUGAGCAGCGGGGCACAGAAGAAGCCAGCCACACCUCCAUCGCAAGCCCUGCCACGGGGAUAAGGGAACUUUUCCCGUUUUGCCACCAGCUCAAGCCCCGCCUUCCUGUCACUCCACACUCUUCAUCUCUGUGUAUGGGUGUGGUCUUCCUCAGUUCCUUCUCUGGCCUCACACAGUGCCCUGAAUAAUGCUUUGCAAGGCCUUUGCCAGGAGCCUAGGUGAAAGGCAG
This 3395-nucleotide long non-coding RNA is filed under the name Homo sapiens (human). Its description in RNAcentral is "HSALNT0332092". The record is from RNAcentral. Lineage: Eukaryota; Metazoa; Chordata; Mammalia; Primates; Hominidae.